Molecule: ribosomal RNA, 253 nt
Filed under: uncultured bacterium
Lineage: Bacteria
Description: partial 16S ribosomal RNA
Rfam family: Bacterial small subunit ribosomal RNA
Source: RNAcentral
UACGUAGGGGGCUAGCGUUGUCCGGAAUUAUUGGGCGUAAAGCGCGCGUAGGCGGUCCGGCAAGUCCGCUGUGAAAGUCAAAGGCUCAACCUUUGAAUGUCAGCGGAUACUGCCGGGCUAGAGUCCGGAAGAGGAGAGUGGAAUUCCUGGUGUAGCGGUGGAAUGCGCAGAUAUCAGGAGGAACACCAGCGGCGAAGGCAGCUCGCUGGGACGGUACUGACGCUGAGGCGCGAAAGCGUGGGGAGCGAACAGG